RNAcentral lists this long non-coding RNA (798 nucleotides) under Salmo salar (Atlantic salmon). Its description in RNAcentral is "lncRNA (ENSSSAG00000082576.1, ENSSSAG00000112952.1)". The record is from RNAcentral. Lineage: Eukaryota; Metazoa; Chordata; Actinopteri; Salmoniformes; Salmonidae.
CUUCAAUAUCGCCACCUACUGUGGUGGAGUGUAAUAUCAUAACGGUAAACAUUUAAAUAAAGUGCACUGCACACUCGUCAGAAACUGAAUGUUAAAUAUUUAGCAAGAAUGUGUACAUCAGGCGUACUAAUAAAAAAAAUAUAUGCUGGUAAACACAGUUCAGCAAUUUACUAUCAAUCCUGGCUACAUUUCCACCUGCAAAUUGCCGUAAUUAAUAACAUCAGCACUAGAAAGUUCCCCCCUACUAUUUGUGACUUUACCUAAAUAUUCAUGUAUUUAAUUAUAAAAGUCCACUUUUCUCAACCUUCGUGGGAGAAGUAUCUGGAUUGAGGUUUAUGAACGAUUUAGUUUAGCUAAUCAUCGACUACUCCCUGGUGGACAAAAGAUGAUCAACAGCAUAGUUCCAAAUGGACUCAGUACUUCCUCAAUUCAACAGAAAGGGCUGUAUUAUAGCGGUGUGCUUGGUAGUUGCUUGAAGAAUUCAUGAGAUAACCCUGUCUCUGGUUACAUUUAUGAUUCUGUGGGAGAGUUGCUGCUCUGAGAGUGAAGAGGAACUUAGUCUGUCAUGGACACACACCAAGGAACUCAGACUCUGUCGUUGAUAUGUACAAAGCUAAUCCUAAAGUCAAUGAGGACUGGGGAGUACUGCACCAAAGCUCAGAGACCACGCUGCUGCCACAACUUGGUACUGACUCGGCAGCCAUUUUGGGAACAACAUCAAAUCAUUUUGUACCAGAGGUGCCAGACAAAGACUAGCCAAAAGCUCUCAUCAGAAACAUUGACAGAGCACCAUGUAGU